GAAUAGACCAGAUAAAUAUCAGUCAGUGAUGGUCUUCAAUAACGUAAAGUAUAUAUAAUUUUAAACAGAGAAGGGUUUUCAAAAGUGUAAAGGCACGCAGUUUACUUUGUUUUUUCACUUUCGUGACAAUUUAAUUUUUGAAAUAUGGUCAACUCUAUCUUCAUCCUUGUUCUUAUAAAUUUGAGCAUCGUUAUUUUGGUUGGAUGUGAAGAUGAAAAGAUUGAAAACACGGAGACGGCCGAAACGUGGAAAUACGUACUGGAGUUGGAAAGAUUAGAAGGAAUUAGUAGGCCUAGGAAGUCGUGUUUUUUGUACGAACGACUUCUUCCUUCACUCACCCCUCCAAUAGUAACCUGUGAGCCAACACGAAGACAGCCCUUGAAGAAAGUGAUUAAAACACCGAAAAAAAAUGAGCCAUUACGAAAACAGCCCACGAACGUGAUUACAACACCGAGAAACAGUGAGCCAUUACAAAAACAGCCUACGAACGUGAUUAAAAAUUCGAAAAACAAUGAGCCAUUGAGAAAACAGCCUACGAACGUGAUUACAACACCGAGAAACAAUGAGCCAUUGAGAAAACAGCCUACGAACGUGAUUAAAAAUUCGAAAAACAAAAGAUGGUUUUUUUGGUAAAAUAUACUUCGCAAAAUGUUUUCAAAGAGACAAAAAAAUUAUUACAAACUGAAGAUAAUGGGAAUUGAUCAAAUAUUACCAAAAUGCAAUACGUCUCAAAGUUACUUAUUUGCCAAUUUCUCAAACAGCAAAAAUUUUUGAAAAAUACUAAAAAAUUUACCGAAUGUCACAAAAAAAUUUUUACCCAGAAGUAGAUUGAAAAUCAUAAAACUGGAAAAUUGGCAUGAAAAUCACGGAAGUAAUGACAUUUUAGUGAAAUUACCCAAAAUGAAGCGAAAAAUUGCACAAAAUAUUGUAAAAACCUGUUCAAGUAACAUAAAAAUUGUUGAAAGCAUAUUUGAUUCAGUAAUUUGAGCCAAAAAUCGACAAAACCACUGUAAGAGUCAUGAUUUUUAUACUAUCUAACAUUGUUUUCUAAAAAUAACCCCAAAUAGACAUAAGCAGUGAGAUAACCGCUUUACAAGUCAUGAUUCUCCGUUUAGCUAAGGUUGUAUUACAAAAAUUACCUCAACUAGAUAGAGGUACUUGAGAAUUUAUAAAACCGCUUUAGACGUUAUGAUGCUUCAAACAGCUAACGUUGUUCUCCAAAAAGUACCUAAAGCCGGUAUGAAUUCAAAAAACCACCUUAAAGUUUAUGAUUCUUCAUCUGGCUAACGUUGUUUUCCAAAAACCACUACAAAUAUAUACAGGUACUUGAGAAUUAAAUAAACUAUGUACCUUAGAAGUUAUUAAGAUUCUCUGUAUAAAUAGCUAACUUUUUUUCAAAAAUUACCUAAAACAGAUACAAAUAUUUAAAAAACCGCGUUAGAGUUGAUAAUUUUGCAUCUGGCUAACGUUGUUUUUAAAAACCACCUCAAGUAGGUGCACAUGAGUAUUCAAAAAACCACAUUAGAAGUUAUGAUGAUCUGUACAGCUAACGUUGUUUUUCAAAAACUACCUAUGACAGGUGCGAAUAUUUAUAAAAAACCACCUUAGAGUUCAUGAUUCUUCAUCUGGCUAACGUUGUUGUUAAAAACCACCUCAAGUAGGUGCACAUGAGUAUUCAAAAAACCACCUUAGAAGUUAUGAUGGUCUGUACAGCUAACGUUGUUUUUCAAAAACUACCUAUGACAGGUGCGAAUAUUUAAAAAACCACCUUAUGAUUCUUCAUCUGGCUAACGUUGUUUUUAAAAACCACCUCAAGUAGGUGCACAUGAGUAUUCAAAAAACCACCUCAGAAGUUAUGAUGAUCUGUACAUGCUAACGUUGUUUUUCAAAAACUACCUAUGACAGGUACGAAUAUUUGAAAACCCACCUUAGAGUUCAUGAUUCUUCAUCUGGCUAACGUUGUUUUUCAAAAAUUAAAAUUACUCCAAAUGAAUGGAUAUGAAAAAAUGUAUACAAAAAUUGCACUAAUUGUCCCUCCCCCUCCUCUCUUUCUAUGGCCCAGGAUUAGACAUAGAUUUAAGAUGGUAUAAAAUAAGAUUAUUUUUUUAAAACUUUGUACAAAAAAUGAAUUUCUAAUAAAAAUAAUUUUAAAUGA
Long non-coding RNA from Planococcus citri (citrus mealybug), 2155 nucleotides. RefSeq lists it as uncharacterized. Lineage: Eukaryota; Metazoa; Arthropoda; Insecta; Hemiptera; Pseudococcidae. The transcript has 3 exons. The record is from RefSeq and is a predicted model, not a curated record.